GACGAACGCUGGCGGCGUGCCUAAUACAUGCAAGUCGAGCGAAGUUUUUCUGGUUCUUGCACUAGAAACACUUAGCGGCGAACGGGUGAGUAACACGUAAAGAACCUGCCUCAUAGACUGGGACAACUAUUGGAAACGAUAGCUAAUACCGGAUAACAGUAUUUCUCGCAUGAGAGAUAUUUAAAAGUUGGUUAUGCUAACACUAUGAGAUGGCUUUGCGGUGCAUUAGCUAGUUGGUGGGGUAAAGGCCCACCAAGGCGACGAUGCAUAGCCGACCUGAGAGGGUGAUCGGCCACACUGGGACUGAGACACGGCCCAGACUCCUACGGGAGGCAGAAGUAGGGAAUCUUCCGCAAUGGGCGAGAGCCUGACGGAGCAACGCCGCGUGAGUGAAGAAGGAUUUCGGUUCGUAAAGCUCUGUUGUUAGGGAAGAAUGGAUAUGUAGUAACUAUACAUGUAAGAGACGGUACCUAACCAGAAAGCCACGGCUAACUACGUG
This 499-nucleotide ribosomal RNA is filed under the name uncultured bacterium. RNAcentral's name for it is "partial 16S ribosomal RNA". It matches the Rfam family "Bacterial small subunit ribosomal RNA", at positions 28 to 507 of the family's 1533-position model. The record is from RNAcentral.